AACGAACGCUGGCGGCAUGCCUAACACAUGCAAGUCGAACGAGACCUUCGGGUCUAGUGGCGCACGGGUGCGUAACGCGUGGGAACCUGCCCUUAGGUUCGGAAUAACUCCCCGAAAGGGGUGCUAAUACCGGAUAAUGUCUUCGGACCAAAGAUUUAUCGCCUUUGGAUGGGCCCGCGUUGGAUUAGCUAGUUGGUAGGGUAAAAGCCUACCAAGGAGACGAUCCAUAUCUGGUCUGAGAGGAUGAUCAUCCACACUGGGACUGAGACACGGCCCAGACUAGUACGGGAGGCAGCAGUGGAGAAUAUAGGACAAUGGGCGAAAGCCUGAUCAAGCAAUGCCGCGUGAGUGAUGAAGGCCUUAGGGUUGUAAAGCUCUUUUACACGGGAUGAUAAUGACAGUAACGGGAGAAUAAGCAACGGCUAACUACGUG
RNAcentral lists this ribosomal RNA (433 nucleotides) under uncultured bacterium. RNAcentral describes it as "partial 16S ribosomal RNA". It matches the Rfam family "Bacterial small subunit ribosomal RNA", at positions 29 to 507 of the family's 1533-position model. The record is from RNAcentral.